RNAcentral lists this non-coding RNA (95 nucleotides) under Desulfosporosinus lacus. RNAcentral's name for it is "Glycine sequence". It matches the Rfam family "Glycine riboswitch aptamer". From Rfam's summary of the family: This family represents the bacterial glycine riboswitch. Glycine riboswitches usually consist of two metabolite-binding aptamers domains with similar structures in tandem. The record is from RNAcentral. Lineage: Bacteria; Bacillati; Bacillota; Clostridia; Eubacteriales; Desulfitobacteriaceae.
UGACAGGACUCUGGAGAGACCCAAAUGAUGGGCGCCGAAGGGGCAACGCAAUGACGCUUUGCUAAUCUCUCAGGCAAAAGGACAGAGUAUUUUUU